UACGGAGGGUGCGAGCGUUGUCCGGAAUCACUGGGCGUAAAGGGCGCGUAGGUGGCGCGGGCAGUCAACGGUGAAAGUUCGGGGCUCAACCCUGAAUCGGCCGUCGAUACUCCCGGGCUUGAGCACUGUAGAGGCAGAUGGAAUUCCGGGUGUAGCGGUGGAAUGCGUAGAGAUCCGGAAGAACACCGGUGGCGAAGGCGGUCUGCUGGGCAGUAGCUGACACUGAGACGCGAAAGCGCGGGGAGCGAACGGG
This 253-nucleotide ribosomal RNA is filed under the name uncultured bacterium. RNAcentral describes it as "partial 16S ribosomal RNA". It matches the Rfam family "Bacterial small subunit ribosomal RNA", at positions 524 to 776 of the family's 1533-position model. The record is from RNAcentral.